CUAGUUUAUCAGGUUUCAUGCAAAAUCUAAAUAUUUUUAAACGAGAUGAACACGUCAUGUGAAUGCUACUGUUAUUUAGGUUAGGUUUGGAUACCAGAAAACAUCUCAUCUCAUCUCAUCUGAUUAUUACAACUUUUUAAAACUCCUAUACAAAAUGUAAUAAACAAUUUAACUUUUUUAAAUUCUAAAAUAAUAAUAAUAUUUUAAUGAUGUUUAUUAUUUUCUAAGAAUAUGAAUACCACAUGAGCUUCUAAUACCACAUAUCUAUCUCUCUUUGUGUUAAACAUGAAUUCAAUUCAGUCAACAAUUAGAGAGAAUAUAAUUUAAAUUGUGUUAUAUCUAUUAUAGAAAGAAAAAAAGAUGGUUUAACAUUGUUUCCGAAUAAUUGAUG
Long non-coding RNA from Juglans microcarpa x Juglans regia, 391 nucleotides. RefSeq lists it as uncharacterized. The transcript has 3 exons. The record is from RefSeq and is a predicted model, not a curated record. NCBI's taxonomy places the organism in Eukaryota, Viridiplantae, Streptophyta, Magnoliopsida, Fagales, Juglandaceae.